Molecule: ribosomal RNA, 253 nt
Filed under: uncultured bacterium
Lineage: Bacteria
Description: partial 16S ribosomal RNA
Rfam family: Bacterial small subunit ribosomal RNA
Source: RNAcentral
UACGUAGGGCGCAAGCGUUGUCCGGAAUUAUUGGGCGUAAAGAGCUCGUAGGCGGCUUGUCACGUCGGAUGUGAAAGCCCGAAGCUUAACCUCGGGUCUGCAUUCGAUACGGGCUAGCUAGAGUGUGGUAGGGGAGAUCGGAAUUCCUGGUGUAGCGGUGAAAUGCGCAGAUAUCAGGAGGAACACCGGUGGCGAAGGCGGAUCUCUGGGCCAUUACUGACGCUGAGGAGCGAAAGCGUGGGGAGCGAACAGG